RNAcentral lists this ribosomal RNA (714 nucleotides) under Spirosoma sp. HDK211. RNAcentral describes it as "bacterial SSU rRNA". It matches the Rfam family "Bacterial small subunit ribosomal RNA", at positions 41 to 765 of the family's 1533-position model. The record is from RNAcentral. Lineage: Bacteria; Pseudomonadati; Bacteroidota; Cytophagia; Cytophagales; Cytophagaceae.
GGCAGGCCUAAUACAUGCAAGUCGAACGGGUCGCAAGACCAGUGGCAAACGGGUGCGUAACGCGUAAGCAACCUGCCUCAUACUGGGGGAUAGCCCGGCGAAAGCUGGGGUAAACCCGCACGGUCCCACGGAGUCACCUGGCUUUAUGGGUAAACAUUUAUGGGUAUGAGAGGGGCUUGCGUCUGAUUAGUUAGUUGGCAGGGUAACGGCCUACCAAGACGAUGAUCAAUAAGGGUUCUGAGAGGAUUGGCCCCCACAUGGGUACUGAGAUACGGACCCAACUCCUACGGGAGGCAGCAGUAGGGAAUAUUGGGCAAUGGAGGCAACUCUGACCCAGCCAUGCCGCGUGCAGGAUGAAGGCGCUCAGCGUUGUAAACUGCUUUUAUUGGUGAAGAACAGCAGUGGUGCGCCAUUGUGUGACUGGUAGCCAAGGAAUAAGCACCGGCUAACUCCGUGCCAGCAGCCGCGGUAAUACGGAGGGUGCAAGCGUUGUCCGGAUUUAUUGGGUUUAAAGGGUGCGUAGGUGGUUGUUUAAGUCUGAUUUGAAAGCAGGCGGCUUAACCGUCUGAUGUGGUUGGAAACUGAACAACUUGAAUGGGUUGGCGGUAGCCGGAAUGGGUCAUGUAGCGGUGAAAUGCAUAGAUAUGACCCGGAACACCGAUUGCGAAGGCAGGCUACUACGACUUGAUUGACACUGAGGCACGAGAGCAUGGA